UACGUAGGGCGCAAGCGUUGUCCGGAAUUAUUGGGCGUAAAGAGCUCGUAGGCGGUUUGUCGCGCCUGCUGUGAAAACCUAAGGCUCAACCUUGGGCUUGCAGUGGGUACGGGCAGACUAGAGUGCGGUAGGGGUGACUGGAAUUCCCGGUGUAGCGGUGAAAUGCGCAGAUAUCAGGAGGAACACCGGUGGCGAAGGCGGGUCUCUGGGCCGAUACUGACGCUGAGGAGCGAAAGCGUGGGGAGCAAACAGG
RNAcentral lists this ribosomal RNA (253 nucleotides) under uncultured bacterium. RNAcentral's name for it is "partial 16S ribosomal RNA". It matches the Rfam family "Bacterial small subunit ribosomal RNA", at positions 524 to 776 of the family's 1533-position model. The record is from RNAcentral.